CCAGCAUGUCCAUAGAUCCUCCCUCAGUCAGUGGGGCCAGGAUUUGGUAGCUGGUACUGAAGGAAAUCCUUGAUUACAUUCUUGAUCUGGUACUGUACCAGUGUCACUUGUCUCUCAAGGGAACGGGU
Molecule: small nucleolar RNA, 128 nt
Filed under: Nannospalax galili (Upper Galilee mountains blind mole rat)
Lineage: Eukaryota; Metazoa; Chordata; Mammalia; Rodentia; Spalacidae
Description: Small nucleolar RNA SNORA30/SNORA37 family (ENSNGAG00000001861.1)
Source: RNAcentral